Molecule: ribosomal RNA, 264 nt
Filed under: uncultured bacterium
Lineage: Bacteria
Description: partial 16S ribosomal RNA
Rfam family: Bacterial small subunit ribosomal RNA
Source: RNAcentral
UUCGAGUGGCGGACGGGUGAGUAACGCGUGGGUAACCUGCCUUACACAGGGGGAUAACACCUGGAAACAGGUGCUAAUACCGCAUAAGCGCACAGGGCCGCAUGGCCCGGUGUGAAAAACUCCGGUGGUGUAAGAUGGACCCGCGUCUGAUUAGCUUGUUGGCGGGGUAGGGGCCCACCAAGGCGACGAUCAGUAGCCGGCCUGAGAGGGCGGACGGCCACAUUGGGACUGAGACACGGCCCAGACUCCUACGGAAGGCAGCAG